CGUGGGUAACCUGCCCAAGAGAUCGGGAUAACACCUGGAAACAGAUGCUAAUACCGGAUAACAACAGAUGAUGCCUAUCAACUGUUUAAAAGAUGGUUCUGCUAUCACUCUUGGAUGGACCUGCGGUGCAUUAGCUAGUUGGUAGGGUAACGGCCUACCAAGGCGAUGAUGCAUAACCGAGUUGAGAGACUGAUCGGCCACAUUGGGACUGAGACACGGCCCAAACUCCUACGGGAGGCAGCAGC
RNAcentral lists this ribosomal RNA (245 nucleotides) under uncultured Lactobacillus sp. RNAcentral describes it as "partial 16S ribosomal RNA". It matches the Rfam family "Bacterial small subunit ribosomal RNA", at positions 116 to 355 of the family's 1533-position model. The record is from RNAcentral. Lineage: Bacteria; Bacillati; Bacillota; Bacilli; Lactobacillales; Lactobacillaceae.